Molecule: small nuclear RNA, 143 nt
Gene: U1
Rfam family: U1 spliceosomal RNA
About the family: U1 is a small nuclear RNA (snRNA) component of the spliceosome (involved in pre-mRNA splicing).
Source: Ensembl
AUACUUACCUGGCAGGGGAGAUGCAGUAAUCAAUAAGGUGGUUCUCCCAGGCACCACAAUUGUGAUUUGGUGUAUCUGAACUCUGUGAACUGCUCAAGUGGGCCUAAUUUCUGGUAUUGGUGGAUGGUGUCCACUGUCUCCCC